This is a long non-coding RNA of Panthera uncia (snow leopard), 8545 nucleotides long. RefSeq lists it as uncharacterized. The record is from RefSeq and is a predicted model, not a curated record. The transcript is spliced from 2 exons. NCBI's taxonomy places the organism in Eukaryota, Metazoa, Chordata, Mammalia, Carnivora, Felidae.
CUGUAACCUGAGAGGAAACAAGAAACAAUUAUUUUCUAUAUGCUAACUACUUUGGAUGUAAAUUAAAAAAAAAUAAAAUUAUAAAAAAAUAAAAAUGUUAAAUAAAAAUAAAAAUAUAUUAUCUUAGAAAAAGAAUAAAGCCAAUGACUUAAAAAAAAAAAAAAAGAAUUAUCUGAGUGAUUUCAGAUGUUUUGUGGGGCCAGCACUAAAAACACUGAUGUCUAUCUACCACUACAAGUGUGCCCUCUAUGAAACACAUGUAACCAUCUGCCAGGCCUCCCCAGCUGGUAACCGCUUCAGUCCUUCUCACUGAAUGAAUUGUCCAAUGCCCAUUGAUAUGGACCACCGUUGCUAAUGCUGUUGCCCCAAGAAUUAUAAAGUGAAAUAAGACAGGUCCUUUAUUUGGAGAUGUAAGCCAGGAGAAGAAAGCCACAGACUGUAUCCCCAUCAUUUCUAUGGAGAGCAAAGGUAAAGAGUUGACAGUUUCCCUUUGUCCCAAGUCUGUACUUAUAUCCUGAUUGGGUAUCGAUAUUAUUCGUAAGUGGAAUUCUUUUUUUAAUUUAUUUCAUUUUCCUUGCAGCUGAUCUAAGUGUACAAGUUUAUUGCUUCCUCAAAAAGCUUUGAUUUUACCCAGUUUUCUCCAUGAGUUUGAGUCUUAAGCUAGAUUUAUUUUUUUGUUAGAUGUCAGAAAAAAUACGACAAAUGCUAACCUAACUACAGACCAUGUCCACUAAGAAAUACUUUUACUAUAUAUGGUAGAGAGGGAAAAGAAUGGGGAAAAUCAUUUAUUGGGCACUAAUAUAUAUUUCAGUCAUUCAUUUCAGCUUCCAAAGUCUUGCCUUCCACUCUUAUUCCAGAACUAGUAGCUAAAGCCAAUAGGUACUACGUUAGUCUAACUGGAAAUGAACAAUUCAUAACUUUGUAAGUGUGUGACUUAUUUUUGGGAUUACAUAAAAAUAAUUUAGCUUCAUUACAAGGAGCCCCUUCCCCUUAUCAUAGAAUGGAAAUGUCAGUGUAACAGGAACAUAAGGGGCCUUUUAAGGCAAAGAUUCACAGUGAAUUGAUGUCUUCCUGGUUCUAGGAGAGAUUCUUAACAAGAGGAUUAGCAGUUGAUGAGCCCCCACUGCUGAGCACUGUGGGGAUCACCUACGGAACAGAGAAGCUCUGAAUCCUGCAGUUGUAUAAAUUGAAAAGCAUGCCUUUCAUUAUUUCACCUUUAUAAAAUACAAGGCCAGUUUUUACUACAGAAUAGAUGACUUUUUUCCCCAGGAGUCACUCUGUACAGAACGACUACCAUAGCUGGGAUCAGACUCACUAAGCAAAGCAGAAGAAUCUUGAGUUUCUUAGAGAAAGUCAAAUCAAAGAGGAAUGGGCACAGCCUGGUCAACUAAAUGAGGUACUUCAUUUAAUUCAUUUACAAAAACCCGUUUGCGCUCAAACUAGUCCAAGCCUCCUCCUAGGAAGAAAUGACUCAAACAUCUUAAUAGAAUUAAACCUGGAACUUUACUUGCAUUGAUUGGAACUCACCAUCAUUUGCUUAUGAAAGGGCUGCAAAAUAGGUCGGUCUGUGGAUCAAAUUUUAUUUAUAAUGAAUUCUAAGGAAUCUGUGCCCCAAUCCACUUACUAGCAGAAAUUAUGUUUCAUGAAAUGGGUGUUAAAAUGGUAUUCCAUGAAGCUUGGAAGUACUUUGGCUACAUUGUUUAAUUAUUGUUAUUAAUAAGGGUCAUUCUGUCUUUUAUCAUAAAAGGGAUCAAAAGAAAUAGAACUUGGCUUCUAUUAAAAACAUUGCCAGUUGGGGAAAAACAUGAUUUUUUUGGUUUGUUCCUAUCACUCUCACCCUCUCCCACUCCCUACCAGAUGCCAUUGUCUGAUGUUGUCCUUUCCUUCUGUCCUGAUGUAUCUACUUCUGGGACUUUCCAGACUUAUUUCAGAUUCCUUCUGGGUAGUACCCAACCACAAACAUCAGUCGUAAGUUAGUAGCCUGAUUAUGCAUUUAUUCGUUGGGUAUCAGUGCCAUUAUUCUUUGAAGAAAUACUUCCAUCCUGCCCUUCUUAGGAAGUCCUUUGACACAUUAGGUAAGUACAGAUAUGUCCUGUCAUCACAGCUUUGUGUGACAGAAAGAACCCAGUCAAGUCUCAGUGUAAAUCCCAGCUCCUAGGACUCUGUUUCAUCACCUGUAAAACGGGGGUGAUAUGUACCACCUUCCAGCCCCUUCUAUUGGUGCAGGAGGCCUUUCCUUCCCAGACAAGGUAGGCCGGAGACUUCCAGAUGGGUCAAAGUCUCAGAGGCGUCUUAAGCAAGUGAUGAAGCUAAGCCAGUGAAUGCAAACACAGCUUGACAAAUACCAGUACUUUCUUUAAACCACAGUAAUACCCCUAAGAAGGUGUUUGCUCCCAUCAUCCCUAAGCAAAGAUAUUCUUUGGCUUCCUACUACAUACCAAAAUUGAGAGACCUUUUCCAUCCAGUAACAGUAACCACACUGUCAACAUUUUGAAAUCGGUUUUCAUUAUUAAAUUAGAAAAAGAAAAUGCCUGCCUCUGUCUUAAACCACAAGGGGGCAGGGUUGAUGUGCUUUAUAUAUACUUUUAAGUAGAUUGUGCAUACCUGAUUAUAGGGACAGGCAGAUAAAUACUCUUUAUGAAACCUAGUGUAAAUGGACUUGUAAGCCCUCCAAAUUAAGAAUUACUUAACAUGCUAUAAUUUGCAUGUUAAGUGACAGUUUAUAAAGCUCCUCGUUGGCAUUAUUAGGUCACCAUGAUAUUUCAGAGCCCACCUUAAUUCAGUGCUUAGCAAAUAACUUUUACUGCUAGACUGAAAUUCCAAAAAUAGUGCAGUUAUGUGGAGCAUAUUCCUUGUCCAGCUUGCAGUCACGCGUUGAUGUUGAUGGAGGAGAAAUUUUACAAUAGGCAGAGGAACACAUUAAAGGUAGAAAUACAGUAGAAAGGCUAAAUGUGCCUCGUGAGGAAAAUCUAGUGGUGAAAUACCAGAAUAGUAAUCAGGAGAAGACCCAAAACAAAGCUUGAUGAUGUGAAAAAGGAGAAGGACCCAAUAAUCUAAAUAAAUGCUAAUAAUGACUUUUUAAACAUCUUAUCACAGAGAAUCAGCCUACUUCAUGAACUGGCUGAGACAUUUGACACAGCCCUGUGAAUUCACCACUAAUCUUUGUGUGCUUGUGUUUUUGGGUGGGGGGCAGUGGGGGGAGGGUGCUGGAGGUUGGGGAUAGAGGUAUGAAAGGAGGGAGGGGCAUCCAUUUUAGGGAUAUGGAACCCAGAGAAGCCCUUAAUUGUCCUUGCACUCAGCCCUGUACCCCCUGUGCUUCUGACUCUUCCCUUCCUCAACUGCCUCUGUCUCUUUAGCAGGUGGAAAGCUUUGGCGUGAAGCACGCAGAAAAUUCCAGGAAUUGUGCAGCUAUAUAGCAGGCCUAUGAGGCAAACCUCUUCAACACAAACACACACCUUCUACUUGGGCUUGAUGGGGUAGCAGAACUAUUGUGCCAAUUUCUGAUACGUUUCUUCCCCCAAGCCAUAUGAAUGGAGAAAACUAAACUCUGGCAAUGCAGAAGAGCCUUCCACACUCUGCCCAAAGAGACACAGCCUGGUUAAAUACAUUUGAACUCCCUGAAUCCAUCACCAUCACAAGCAGUAUGAUGGUUUUUAAAGCAAGGUCCCUGAACCGGCAGCAGCAUCUCCUUGGGAAAGAUUAACCAGUCAAGGCACACUAAAUCAAACUCUGGGGAUGUGUUUUAACAAACCCUCCAGCGAGUCUGCCAUACAUGUUCGAGAACAAACACUCUUGCCACAUUUAGCCUGUCUGUCUAUGACAAAGGCUAGAUAGCUGUCAAAAACCAGACUAGACUGGGAAGGUUCCCAGGACCAGAUCAUUUGGCAGAGUUGCAGGCUGUGAGGGGUUUGAAGCUAAUGGUGCCAGGUCACCAGCCCAGGACUAGAAAAAAUGCAAAAUGGCAUGUUCAGGGUUCUCUGGAUCUAUGAUAUUGUGUGACAAGUGGCAAGCAAACUUGGCAUUUUCUAAAUGGGUGAUGAUGUAACAGAGUCAUAACCUGUUUUCCUGGAUCUCUUGCCAGAUUUCUAGGGCUUCAACAUGUAAAAUGUGAAGUACUGUGGAUUUCAUACCCCUACACUGAGUAGCAUACCUCAUGCUCUCUCUUAUAUGAACUGACAAGCACUGUAACUCUCACAUGCUGCAGAUAUUCAUACAGGGAAAAUUCUUCAUCAUUAGUUCUGGUACUAAAAAUGAGGCUGUACCGAGAAAACAAACAGGGACUUGCAUUUUCUCAACCCAAACAUUUUGCCAGAUACCAUGUUUUGUGUUAAGAGGAAUUAAUAAGAAAAAUCUUACAAACCUAGGUGCACCUGUUUUAUAUAUUCAAUCAAUGAGGCUUUGUUUUUAUUCCAGAAGAAUGGAAGCUUCUCCUCAUGAGGAUAUUUACAGCACGACAGCUCCAAUGUAAUUUCAAAACACUGGGCCCAGAUGUAGUUGUAAUCUUGCAUUCCACCUAAACACAAGCAUAUUUAAUUUUUUAAGGUCUAAAAUUGGAACAGAGUCAAGUAUCCUGUACCUUGGGGACAAAUGAAUCCGUUGCAAAGAAAGUACAUUUAAACAGGGAAAGAUGAAUUUGACAUAUUAGCAUAUAAAGUCACGGCCUGCCAUUUUAUUACCCAGGCAUGAACAGGCAAUCCUAAAUGUUCCCAUAUGGGUAACUGGAUCAGAGCUAAGGUUCAACUGUGCAUCAAAAUCAACUGAGGGGCAGGGGAAGGGUCAGCCUUUUUUUUCCCCCCGAUCAUACAUUACAAAAAGGAUUCAUCAAUGUACAUUUCUUCUGUGAAAAUCAUUUUAAACUGAGAGUGAUACUUCUAAAAAAUGUUUUUGCAAACCAUUCAUAAAUACACAUGUAAGCUAAGUAUACUCAUUCGGCGGAAUAAUAGUGGCUGACAUUUAGUGAGUGUUCACUAUUACUGGGCACCGUUUGAAGAGUUUGUCGCCCAUAUUUUACAGAUGGGGAAACAAUCGCUUACGGUAAGUAACGUGCCAGUGAAGGCCGAGCCCAGAGCACAGGCUGUCUUGCGGGCCCCGUGCUCUUAUGACACGAAACUGCUUCAGGGGAUGAAAGAAAGGCUGCUGUGCUAACUUUCGGGAGAGAAGGGACCCAGGCCCCCUUGCGUCCGGGGCUGCCGUCACCUGUGCUCAGUUUCUGGUUCUUACCUCUGAAAACCCAGUUUUCAAAAGGGUAUAAUCAUAUUUCCUAUCUUCUAAGAUGCAAGAUUUUCAUAUUUUAAAAUCUCUGAAUUGGAUGUGUCUUAAAUUUGAUGGCUAAAAACCAUCAUUGUGGCAUGAGUUUGGCCAGAAACAUUUGUUUUUUCUUCCUUGGUGGUACCGUGUAUUUUCCAACCAGUGGCAUCUUGGAUUUUGAAAUAUGGUAACUUUGAAGGAAGGACUUUCGGCCAGAUUUCAACUUGUUGUACUUGAUAAUCUGCCUAUAAAAUACAUUCUCAAUUCCAUCAGGGUAUUUCGGAAGUACUGAAUUAGAAAAAAAAACUCAUACUAAUAGUCAAAAUACAUCAAAAUAUUAUCUAGAUUAAUAUCUACGUAGAUCUAGAUUCUAGCAGGAAGAAUUUCUAUGUCCUUUCUAGAUCCUUUACUCACCUUCUAAGUUUUGUAUUUCUCUCUGAGAUCAUUUUCACCAAGAAAUAGAAAACAGAAAAAAGGACGAGAAUAAUAAAACAGAAGCCCUUGGCUGGACGGCUCUCGGACAGAAAGAAUUUAAAUGCCAAAACAGGUGUACAGAGCACGCAGGGGUGAGAAUGCUUACUUGUGGAGAGCGUGUGCGCCUGUGGAUGAGGCACGCCGGGCCCCGAGGACAAAACCUCCAGGCUGAGCCAGGAUGCUGUGUUCUAAGCUCCUCAACGUAGCUGGCUCUGCCUGCAUUUUCCCUCAGGAGACACAGCUGACACACAGCGACACUCGAAACAAUUCCCAACGGCGACACCAGGUUCCUAGCUAACCUCCCGCAAGCACACCUGGAUGUGUCCGGAAGGUGACAGACAGGGCGGGAGGGAGCCCUGUCCUCCCUGGGGGAGUGCUGAGCAGGGACUAGCCUUGCGGGGCGGGGCGGGCUGUGCCUUGUCCAACAGAGAGUGGGGGUGCAGUGCUGUCUCGCUGGCCCUGCAGCUUCCAGUCGUGGUCUGUGCUAAUUCACAUCACCUGGAAAGCUGGCAGAGACACACAAGUACCAGCUUGUGCAAGGCUACCUGACGGUCUGUGUGUGGCCUAUCGCCCAAGUACGGCCUAUGGCCUGCUAGAGGUAGGUCUCAAACGGGGCCCUCUCCGCUGAGCAACGAGACCCCCUUCCAGCCCCCGGUCUCCCCUGGCUCUUCCGCCCUAGGUCCCUCUGUUCUCUCAGGCCCCUGACUCGUGUGAGUUCUCUUACACCCCUCAGCUUCUUCUCCCAUUGUUCCUUUUGACAAGAAUAUUCCCCCCUCCUGUGACCCCCACAAGGCAAUCUCCUCCCCUCUCUCACCUGGCCCUCCUGUUCCACGGACAGAAAAGUGGAAGCAUGCCCUCACCCCCCCCCAUACCCAGCUGGAAAAUCACUUUUGUUUAGCGUGCAAAAUGGCUUUAAGAUCAAGAUAUUUCUGGAGAAACGGGAACCCUCUUGCACUGUUGGUGGGAAUGCAAACUGGUGCAGCCACUCUGGAAAACAGUGUGGAGGUUCCUCAGAAAAUUAAAAAUAGACCUACCCUAUGACCCAGCAAUAGCACUGCUAGGAAUUUACCCAAGGAUCAGGAGUAGUGAUGCAUAGGGGCACUUGCACCCCAAUGUUUAUAGCAGCACUCUCAACAAUAGCCAAAUUAUGGAAAGAACCUAAAUGUCCAUCAACUGAUGAAUGGAUAAAGAAAUUGUGGUUUAUAUACACAAUGGAGUACUAUGUGGCAAUGAGAAAGAACGAAAUAUGGCCCUUUGUAGCAACAUGAAUGGAACUGGAGAGUGUGAUGCUAAGUGAAAUAAGCCAUACAGAGAAAGACAGAUACCAUGUUUUCACUCUUAUGUGGAUCCUGAGAAACUUAACAGAAACCCAUGGGGGAGGGGAAGGAAAAAAAAAAAAAGAGGUUAGAGUGGGAGAGAGCCAAAGCAUAAGAGACUCUUAAAAACUGAGAACAGGGGCGCCUGGGUGGCUCAGUCGGUUAAGCGUCCGACUUCAGCUCAGGUCACGAUCUCGUGGUCUGUGAGUUUGAGCCCCGCGUCAGGCUCUGGGCUGAUGGCUCAGAGCCUGGAGCCUGCUUCUGGUUCUGUGUCUCCCUCUCUCUCUGCCCCUCCCCCGUUCAUGCUCUCUCUCUGUCUCAAAAAUAAAUAAACUUAAAAAAAAACAAACUGAGAACAAACUGAGGGUUGAUGGGGGUGGGAGGAGGGGAGGGUGGGUGAUGGGUAUUGAGGAGGGCACCUUUUGGGAUGAGCACUGGGUGUUGUUUGGAAACCAAUUUGACAAUAAAUUUCAUAUAUUGAAAAAAAAAGAUCAAGAUAUUUCACGUACAAGUUCAGCUUAUUUUACAAACCAGAAGAUCUGGCAAUAGCUGGAUCCCACUAGUGCGUGGCCAUAAUGAGCUGGAUCAGCCGCUGUCCUUGUUAGAUGCCGCAGAAGCAUCACAUUUCUCCAAGGUCUUCUCUACUCCCUCCUGCACCCUGGCUUUACAGUAUACCUCUGGGGUACGCUGUACCUUUUCUAAAUCUCUCCUUUUUAUUCUAAUAUGCUGCCACCACAAUUAUUUAUUUGCACAUGGCUCUUCCUGUUAAACUUGAGGGUAGGGUCUGUGUUCUGUCCAUCUUUCUUGGCACAGUUUCUGGCUCAGAGUAGGUAAAUGCUGAACAAGUAUCUGAACAUCGCUCAGUCAGUCACCCCCCACUGCUUUUGUGACAUUAGCUGACAGAGACACAACUGGAGGGACCGCACCGUGCCAAACAAACUUUGACAACUGCUGGGGUCCACAAAAACCAGCUGGCACAUGGGGAGGAAGUCAAUAAGGAGAAAGCUAGAGGAGAAACUCACCUUUGAGUGGAUACCAAGAGUAGCCAUUUGUAAUUCCAUUAGGAAAGUUCAUCUUAGUUUUACACUGAUCUCCUUUCUUCAUGGUGGGAUUUCUUGAAGCAUAGGUAUGUGCAAGGUGUUGAAACACAUCGUCAUCAGGGGUUAUGCUACGGGAGUAUAACGUCCCAGUUGCUGUGUGUGAAAAACAAACCGAGGCCUUUCGGUUGGUGUUGGAGGACGUGGAAACACGCAGCGCCCGGUCAGCAAACUUGCUGUCCGGUCACACAGGAAGGCUCUACUUUACUAGAGGGAAGCCCACCCCCUGCCAUGAACGCUCCGCUCCCUUCUGCUCUUUCUCCUAGUUUUUAGGGAAUAUACGCAAAGUAGCAUCACACAAAAUACACCACAGCCAUAUUCAAAGGACUCCUCCAUCAGCUCAUAAGUACCCUCUUAGUCCCUCUUGCUAAUUUCUGGAGGGCAGGAAACUUUCCUUACGUACCAGGGGGG